CUGAGCGGUGGAGGGGUUUCUGCGUGAAGAGAGAGAUGAUGGCGGCAAAUUUAAAGGAGAUGGGCUGAGUUUCUGAAGAGAGAGAACACGUAAACUGUGGGCCAGGAAGAGAACUUUGCUGGUCAGGAGCUUAAUGGUGUGAGGAUCGGGGAACAGGAAGCCCCGUGGACGAGAGUGCACUUGAUUAAACAUCGUGGCAUCAUCUUCGAGAAUGUGACUAACGCAGCUGCUGUGAUUGAGUUCUUCCCAACAACAUGUCCAGUUUGUACACACCGAAGGUCACAGGCUGAGCUGCAUACACCACAAAACGGUGCAGACCCUUUGGGAGAAAUACAUCGGUGGACAGAAUUCUGAGGCGUGAGGUCAACGCUGUAACUGAAUAAAUGUGUUGUUAUUUGGUGGGAGACACGCGUGUACCUUACCACCUGUAUCCAGUGAACUUUGAUCAGAUUCAGCCUGCUGACAUACGCUUUCCCGACAUAAAGUCAGCUCUGCAAAUAAUCACUCAGUGCAGAGAAAUAAGUUAUGACGAAAGAUCAACUAUUCGCUGUGUUCCUGGGCAUCGCAAAC
This is a long non-coding RNA of Pristis pectinata (smalltooth sawfish), 570 nucleotides long. RefSeq lists it as uncharacterized. Lineage: Eukaryota; Metazoa; Chordata; Chondrichthyes; Rhinopristiformes; Pristidae. The transcript is spliced from 3 exons. The record is from RefSeq and is a predicted model, not a curated record.